UGCCAGCAGCCGCGGUAAUACGGAGGGAGCUAGCGUUGUUCGGAAUUACUGGGCGUAAAGCGUGCGUAGGCGGAUCGACAAGUUGGGGGUGAAAUCCCGGGGCUUAACCCCGGAACUGCCCUCAAAACUGUCGAUCUAGAGACCGGGAGAGGUAAGCGGAAUUCCUAGUGUAGAGGUGAAAUUCGUAGAUAUCGGAAGGAACACCAGUGGCGAAGGCGACUUCCUGGGCCAAUACUGACGCUGAGGUGCGAAAGCGUGGGGAGCAAACAGGAUUAGAUA
RNAcentral lists this ribosomal RNA (279 nucleotides) under uncultured bacterium. RNAcentral's name for it is "partial 16S ribosomal RNA". It matches the Rfam family "Bacterial small subunit ribosomal RNA", at positions 506 to 784 of the family's 1533-position model. The record is from RNAcentral.